AGAGUGAACGCUGGCGGUAGGCCUAACACAUGCAAGUCGAACGGCAGCACAGUGGUAGCAAUACCAUGGGUGGCGAGUGGCGGACGGGUGAGGAAUACAUCGGAAUCUACCUUUUCGUGGGGGAUAACGUAGGGAAACUUACGCUAAUACCGCAUACGCCCUUUGGGGGAAAGCCGGGGAUCGCAAGACCUGGCGCGGAUAGAUGAGCCGAUGUCGGAUUAGCUAGUUGGUGAGGUAAUGGCUCACCAAGGCGACGAUCCGUAGCUGGUCUGAGAGGAUGAUCAGCCACACUGGAACUGAGACACGGUCCAGACUCCUACGGGAGCAGCGAGUGGGGAAUA
Molecule: ribosomal RNA, 341 nt
Filed under: uncultured soil bacterium
Lineage: Bacteria
Description: bacterial SSU rRNA
Rfam family: Bacterial small subunit ribosomal RNA
Source: RNAcentral